CAUAUAUAAGUAACUAUUUGCCUGUCAGUGUUUUAUAGAAGUUUGAUCCAAGAAGUGUGAGUUAACAAUUAUUUAACGGUGAGCAUCAGUAACUGUAGCGGAUUCAGGAUAGCGCAAUGGUGUCUAAAGUUUACUUUCUAGUAAUGUUGUUGGCCGCGAGCGGCGUCAUUGAGGCUGUAUUAUUCACUUGUGGCCACAACUGUUGGCAUAAUAACUGGAGACAUCGGGAUUGGCAAGCAAGACGAGCUGGUCAGUACAACAGGAGAUGUUCCUACAGGUACGGCUGGGGCGGAAGGUGCUAUUGUUACGGGUGGCCAGCGUGCAAAUAAACUGCAAGAACGAACUUAUCAGCUUUACACAAGUAUUGUUAUCAUUUUUUUCGCAAAUAUGUGCAAAUUUAGCUAUGUUUAUUGUUGUGUGUAGAAAUGUGUAGUGAUUUGUGCCAGUGUAAUAAUGAUUUAAAUAUCUCUCAAACUUUCUAUUUUGUCCUGUUUAAUUUUCUGACAAUUAUUAAGUAGCGGAGAAAUAAAUUACUGUGAUACAUUUUA
Molecule: long non-coding RNA, 548 nt
Organism: Dendronephthya gigantea
Lineage: Eukaryota; Metazoa; Cnidaria; Anthozoa; Malacalcyonacea; Nephtheidae
Exons: 2
Source: RefSeq, a predicted model, not a curated record